Molecule: long non-coding RNA, 655 nt
Organism: Quercus robur (English oak)
Lineage: Eukaryota; Viridiplantae; Streptophyta; Magnoliopsida; Fagales; Fagaceae
Exons: 2
Source: RefSeq, a predicted model, not a curated record
UUGAUAAUACAAGUUAUAUGGAUUAUUUUUUUGAUAAAGAAGUUAAGAAAGCAUAAUUGAGGCCAACGUGGUCUUUCAUCAAACGUGUAUCUAUAAAAACACCAAGCCGCCUAUUAAAAAAAAAAAAAGCAUACCCUAAAACGCUCUAACUUCCGUUUCUCCUCUUUCGGAUACUCUCUCCUUUCGCUUCCUCUUGAUUUUCUUAACACCGAUGCUUACGAUACAAAGAUAGAGAAGGAGGGAAAAAUAAACCUUGCGAUUCAGAGAUGAGAAGAAGACAGAUGUUGAGAGAACUACCACCGUAUAUAAAUGUUGGGGUUAAACGGAAUCUACAAAGGUCUAUAUUUAUUCCUCACAAAAGGGACAUGAUAGGCGGAAAAUAAAAAGGGGAAACGAUAUUUGACUGAUUGGAAGGGAGCAAGAACAAAAAGAACAACUGAGAUAUGAAAUGAGCUGAUGCUGAAUUAGCAUCUUCAAAUGCACUUGGUUGGAUUGUUUUAGAUUUAGAUAUUUGACUUAGAUUUGGUUUUAAUGGGUUUAAAAUAAAUUUUGUUUUGAGUAUUUGUAUUAGAUUUGGGUUAAAUUCGUUUUUGGUAUUUGCCUAUGGUGUUUGUAUUUAGAUUUAUAAAUGGAGAUAUGUGUUGGGUGUUUAGUA